UACGGAGGGUGCGAGCGUUGUCCGGAAUCACUGGGCGUAAAGGGCGCGUAGGCGGCUUCUCAAGCGUGUGGUGAAAGUCCGGGGCUCAACCCCGGAUCGGCCGUGCGGACUGGGGAGCUCGAGUUCUGUAGAGGCGGGUGGAAUUCCGGGUGUAGCGGUGGAAUGCGUAGAGAUCCGGAAGAACACCGGUGGCGAAGGCGGCUCACUGGCCCGAUACUGACGCUGAGGCACGAAAGCGUGGGGAGCAAACAGG
RNAcentral lists this ribosomal RNA (253 nucleotides) under uncultured bacterium. RNAcentral's name for it is "partial 16S ribosomal RNA". It matches the Rfam family "Bacterial small subunit ribosomal RNA", at positions 524 to 776 of the family's 1533-position model. The record is from RNAcentral.